Molecule: ribosomal RNA, 253 nt
Filed under: uncultured bacterium
Lineage: Bacteria
Description: partial 16S ribosomal RNA
Rfam family: Bacterial small subunit ribosomal RNA
Source: RNAcentral
UACAGAGGUCUCAAGCGUUGUUCGGAAUUACUGGGCGUAAAGGGCUCGUAGGCGGCCAACUAAGUCAGACGUGAAAUCCCUCGGCUUAACCGGGGAACUGCGUCUGAUACUGGAUGGCUUGAGUUUGGGAGAGGGAUGCGGAAUUCCAGGUGUAGCGGUGAAAUGCGUAGAUAUCUGGAGGAACACCGGUGGCGAAGGCGGCAUCCUGGACCAACACUGACGCUGAGGAGCGAAAGCCAGGGGAGCAAACGGG